Molecule: ribosomal RNA, 1346 nt
Filed under: metagenome
Description: bacterial LSU rRNA
Rfam family: Bacterial large subunit ribosomal RNA
Source: RNAcentral
CAAAAUUAGCGGAUGAGCUGUGGAUAGGGGUGAAAGGCUAAACAAACUUGGAAAUAGCUGGUUCUCUCCGAAAACUAUUUAGGUAGUGCCUCAAGUAUUACCAUCGGGGGUAGAGCACUGUUAUGGCUAGGGGGUCAUGGCGACUUACCAAACCAUUGCAAACUCCGAAUACCGAUGAGUACAGCUUGGGAGACAGAGCACCGGGUGCUAACGUCCGGACUCAAGAGGGAAACAACCCAGACCGCCAGCUAAGGUCCCCAAAAUUGGCUAAGUGGGAAACGAAGUGGGAAGGCUAAAACAGUCAGGAUGUUGGCUUAGAAGCAGCCAUCAUUUAAAGAAAGCGUAAUAGCUCACUGAUCGAGUCGUCCUGCGCGGAAGAUGUAACGGGGCUAAGCCAGUUACCGAAGCUGCGGAUGUGCAAUUUAUUGCAUGUGGUAGGAGAGCGUUCUGUAAGCCUGUGAAGGUGGCUUGUGAAGGCUGCUGGAGGUAUCAGAAGUGCGAAUGCUGACAUGAGUAGCGUUAAAGGGGGUGAAAAGCCCCCUCGCCGAAAGCGCAAGGUUUCCUACGCAACGUUCAUCGGCGUAGGGUGAGUCGGCCCCUAAGGCGAGGCAGAGAUGCGUAGCUGAUGGGAAACAGGUCAAUAUUCCUGUACCGAUUGCAAGUUCGAUGUGGGGACGGAGAAGGUUAGCUCAGCCAACUGUUGGAUAUGUUGGUUCAAGCGUGUAGUCGUGUCUCUUAGGCAAAUCCGGGAGAAUUAGAUGAGGCGUGAUAACGAGUCUGCUUGCAGACGAAGUGAGUGAUACCCUGCUUCCAAGAAAAGCCACUAAGCUUCAGCUUGUAAUUGACCGUACCGCAAACCGACACUGGUGCGCGAGAUGAGUAUUCUAAGGCGCUUGAGAGAACUCUGGAGAAGGAACUCGGCAAAUUGACACCGUAACUUCGGAAGAAGGUGUGCCUUUAGUAGGUGAACCAUUUACUUGGGGAGCCCAAUGAGGCCGCAGAGAAUCGGUGGCUGCAACUGUUUAUUAAAAACACAGCACUCUGCAAAGACGAAAGUCGACGUAUAGGGUGUGACUCCUGCCCGGUGCUGGAAGAUUAAAUGAUGGGGUGCAAGCUCUUGACUGAAGUCCCAGUAAACGGCGGCCGUAACAAUAACGGUCCUAAGGUAGCGAAAUUCCUUGUCGGGUAAGUUCCGACCUGCACGAAUGGAGUAAUGAUGGCCACACUGUCUCCUCCAGAGACUCAGCGAAGUUGAAAUGUUUGUGAUGAUGCAAUCUCCCCGCGGAAAGACGGAAAGACCCCAUGAACCUUUACUGUAGCUUUACAUUGGACUUUGAACAGAUCUC